Molecule: transfer RNA, 71 nt
Filed under: Ateleopus japonicus (Pacific jellynose fish)
Lineage: Eukaryota; Metazoa; Chordata; Actinopteri; Ateleopodiformes; Ateleopodidae
Description: tRNA-Ser (UCN)
Rfam family: tRNA
About the family: Transfer RNA (tRNA) molecules are approximately 80 nucleotides in length. Their secondary structure includes four short double-helical elements and three loops (D, anti-codon, and T loops). Further hydrogen bonds mediate the characteristic L-shaped molecular structure. tRNAs have two regions of fundamental functional importance: the anti-codon, which is responsible for specific mRNA codon recognition, and the 3' end, to which the tRNAs corresponding amino acid is attached (by aminoacyl-tRNA synthetases). tRNAs cope with the degeneracy of the genetic code in two manners: having more than one tRNA (with a specific anti-codon) for a particular amino acid; and 'wobble' base-pairing, i.e. permitting non-standard base-pairing at the 3rd anti-codon position.
Source: RNAcentral
AAGAAAGUGGCAGAGUGGUUAUGUAGUUGGCUUGAAACCAUCGUAUGGGGGUUCAAUUCCCUCCUUUCUCG